UACGGAGGGGGCAAGCGUUGUUCGGAGUUACUGGGCGUAAAGCGCGCGUAGGCGGUGCGGUAAGUCAGGGGUUAAAGGCUGCAGCUCAACUGCAGUAAGGCCUUUGAUACUAUCGCGCUAGAGUACCAGAGAGGAUGGCGGAAUUCCCGGUGUAGCGGUGAAAUGCGUAGAUAUCAGGAGGAACACCGGUGGCGAAGGCGGCCGCCUGGACAGGUAUCGACGCUGAGGCGCGAGAGCGUGGGGAGCAAACAGG
Molecule: ribosomal RNA, 253 nt
Filed under: uncultured microorganism
Description: partial 16S ribosomal RNA
Rfam family: Bacterial small subunit ribosomal RNA
Source: RNAcentral